UGGGGAAUCUUCCGCAAUGGACGAAAGUCUGACGGAGCAACGCCGCGUGAGUGAAGAAGGUCUUCGGAUUGUAAAGCUCUGUUAUACGGGACGAAAAAGACGGAUGCCAACAGUAUCUGUCCGUGACGGUACCGUAAGAGAAAGCCACGGCUAACUACGUGCCAGCAGCCGCGGUAAUACGUAGGUGGCAAGCGUUGUCCGGAAUUAUUGGGCGUAAAGGGCGCGCAGGCGGUUCGGUAAGUCUGUCUUAAAAGUGCGGGGCUUAACCCCGUGAGGGGACGGAAACUGUCGAACUUGAGUGUCGGAGAGGAAAGCGGAAUUCCUAGUGUAGCGGUGAAAUGCGUAGAUAUUAGGAGGAACACCGGUGGCGAAAGCGGCUUUCUGGACGACAACUGACGCUGAGGCGCGAAAGCGUGGGGAGCAAACAGG
This 429-nucleotide ribosomal RNA is filed under the name uncultured Megasphaera sp. RNAcentral's name for it is "bacterial SSU rRNA". It matches the Rfam family "Bacterial small subunit ribosomal RNA", at positions 355 to 776 of the family's 1533-position model. Lineage: Bacteria; Bacillati; Bacillota; Negativicutes; Veillonellales; Veillonellaceae. The record is from RNAcentral.